CGUAGCUCAGUUGGUAGAGCAACUGACUCUUAAUCAGUGGGUCGAGAGUUCGAGCCUCUCCGG
This 63-nucleotide transfer RNA is filed under the name Porphyromonas endodontalis. It matches the Rfam family "tRNA", at positions 6 to 65 of the family's 71-position model. From Rfam's summary of the family: Transfer RNA (tRNA) molecules are approximately 80 nucleotides in length. Their secondary structure includes four short double-helical elements and three loops (D, anti-codon, and T loops). Further hydrogen bonds mediate the characteristic L-shaped molecular structure. tRNAs have two regions of fundamental functional importance: the anti-codon, which is responsible for specific mRNA codon recognition, and the 3' end, to which the tRNAs corresponding amino acid is attached (by aminoacyl-tRNA synthetases). tRNAs cope with the degeneracy of the genetic code in two manners: having more than one tRNA (with a specific anti-codon) for a particular amino acid; and 'wobble' base-pairing, i.e. permitting non-standard base-pairing at the 3rd anti-codon position. RNAcentral also lists the same sequence under 12 other names. Lineage: Bacteria; Pseudomonadati; Bacteroidota; Bacteroidia; Bacteroidales; Porphyromonadaceae. The record is from RNAcentral.